CGGCGCGGUGCUAUAAAAGCUUCCUACCGGCUGCCGCGGGGCUUGCUGCGAACAUCCCUCCCCACAGAACUGCGUUUUCCAGCUACGAAUAACGCCUGGCGAGGGAGGGAAAGGGCACCCGGCCACUGCUGCGUUGCUGGAACUGAGACUGUUAACGAUAUUUUCAGCUCAGAGGGAAAAGAGGCACCCGCCCUGACCUUAGAUCUCGGAGAUCACUCGUUUAGCUGCACCUCUCUACCGUGUGGCUCUGGCGCUGUGUUGGACGGAAGAGGAUGCGGUGCUGUGUGC
Meleagris gallopavo (turkey) is the source of this 288-nucleotide non-coding RNA. The record is from RefSeq and is a predicted model, not a curated record. NCBI's taxonomy places the organism in Eukaryota, Metazoa, Chordata, Aves, Galliformes, Phasianidae.